UGAAUAACCUGCGAUCUUGUAGUAAUACAAGGCAUACGGCUCAGUAACGCGUAGUCAACCUACCCUAUGGACGGGGAUAACCUCGGGAAACUGAGAAUAAUACCCGAUAGAACAUUAUACCUGGAACGGUUUAUGUUUCAAAUAAUUUAUUGCCGUAGGAUGGGACUGCGGCCUAUCAGUUUGUUGGUGAGGUAAUGGCCCACCAAGACUAUUACAGGUACGGGCUCUGAGAGGAGUAGCCCGGAGAUGGGUACUGAGACACGGACCCAGGCCCUAUGGGGCGCAGCAGGCGAGAAAACUUUGCAAUGUGCGAAAGCACGACAAGGUUAAUCCGAGUGGUUUCUGCUAAAGGAGCCUUUUGUCAGUCCUAGAAACACUGUUGAAUAAGGGGUGGGCAAGUUCUGGUGUCAGCCGCCGCGGUAAAACCAGCACCUCAAGUGGUCAAGGAUGAUUAUUAGGGCCUAAAGCAUCCGGAGCCUGGUUUGUUAGUUUUCGGUAAAUCCAACCCUUACCGUAUGGGCUGCCCGGAAUACUGCAAGCUAGGGAGUGGGAGAGGAAGACGGUCUCGGUAAGGAAGGGUAAAAUCUUUGUUCAUUGUGACCCUUAGGCGAAGCGGCUACAAAACCNUCCACGG
RNAcentral lists this ribosomal RNA (634 nucleotides) under uncultured archaeon. Its description in RNAcentral is "bacterial SSU rRNA". It matches the Rfam family "Archaeal small subunit ribosomal RNA", at positions 42 to 697 of the family's 1478-position model. The record is from RNAcentral.